UCCUGAACAAGACCAGGUUUCCUGCAAGA
Molecule: non-coding RNA, 29 nt
Filed under: Rattus norvegicus (Norway rat)
Lineage: Eukaryota; Metazoa; Chordata; Mammalia; Rodentia; Muridae
Source: RNAcentral